Molecule: ribosomal RNA, 465 nt
Filed under: uncultured Klebsiella sp.
Lineage: Bacteria; Pseudomonadati; Pseudomonadota; Gammaproteobacteria; Enterobacterales; Enterobacteriaceae
Description: bacterial SSU rRNA
Rfam family: Bacterial small subunit ribosomal RNA
Source: RNAcentral
CCUACGGGAGGCAGCAGUGGGGAAUAUUGCACAAUGGGCGCAAGCCUGAUGCAGCCAUGCCGCGUGUGUGAAGAAGGCCUCCGGGUUGUAAAGCACUUUCAGCGGGGAGGAAGGCGUUAAGGUUAAUAACCUUGGCGAUUGACGUUACCCGCAGAAGAAGCACCGGCUAACUCCGUGCCAGCAGCCGCGGUAAUACGGAGGGUGCAAGCGUUAAUCGGAAUUACUGGGCGUAAAGCGCACGCAGGCGGUCUGUCAAGUCGGAUGUGAAAUCCCCGGGCUCAACCUGGGAACUGCAUUCGAAACUGGCAGGCUAGAGUCUUGUAGAGGGGGGUAGAAUUCCAGGUGUAGCGGUGAAAUGCGUAGAGAUCUGGAGGAAUACCGGUGGCGAAGGCGGCCCCCUGGACAAAGACUGACGCUCAGGUGCGAAAGCGUGGGGAGCAAACAGGAUUAGAUACCCCAGUAGUC